This 636-nucleotide ribosomal RNA is filed under the name uncultured bacterium. RNAcentral's name for it is "bacterial SSU rRNA". It matches the Rfam family "Bacterial small subunit ribosomal RNA", at positions 232 to 883 of the family's 1533-position model. The record is from RNAcentral.
CGCGGCCUAUCAGCUUGUUGGUGGGGUAACGGCCUACCAAGGCUUCGACGGGUAGCUGGUCUGAGAGGAUGGUCAGCCACACUGGGACUGAGACACGGCCCAGACUCCUACGGGAGGCAGCAGUUAGGAAUCUUGCGCAAUGGGCGAAAGCCUGACGCAGCAACGCCGCGUGAGGGAUGAAGGCUUUCGGGUUGUAAACCUCUUUCAGCAGGAACGAAAAUGACGGUACCUGCAGAAGAAGCUCCGGCCAACUACGUGCCAGCAGCCGCGGUAAUACGUAGGGAGCAAGCGUUGUCCGGAUUUAUUGGGCGUAAAGAGCUCGUAGGCGGUUUAGAAAGUCAGGUGUGAAACCUCCAGGCUCAACCUGGAGACGCCACCUGAUACUUCUAUGACUUGAGUUCGGUAGGGGACCAUGGAAUUCCUGGUGUAGCGGUGAAAUGCGCAGAUAUCAGGAGGAACACCGAUGGCGAAGGCAGUGGUCUGGGCCGAUACUGACGCUGAGGAGCGAAAGCGUGGGGAGCGAACAGGAUUAGAUACCCUGGUAGUCCACGCCGUAAACGUUGGGAACUAGGUGUGGGAGAUAUUCAACGUCUUCCGUGCCGUAGCUAACGCAUUAAGUUCCCCGCCUGGGAGUAC